RNAcentral lists this long non-coding RNA (1038 nucleotides) under Chrysolophus pictus (golden pheasant). RNAcentral's name for it is "lncRNA (ENSCPIG00010001833.1)". The record is from RNAcentral. Lineage: Eukaryota; Metazoa; Chordata; Aves; Galliformes; Phasianidae.
CACUGCUGUUUGUGGCUGAAAGAAUGUGGCUAAAUUAUCAUAGCAAAGAAGCAGAAUAGAUAGUUGAACGUUCCUUCCGAUAAGACUUCAGCUGUAGAGAAUGUUGGGAAUCUGCAAUUCUUUGUCAUAGAACUUGAGAUCGUCUUGCUUUUUAAACACUUGUUCUGUAGCAGUUCCAUUGAAUCUGGGUUGAGCAGAAGUCUUGAAAGUCCAGCUUGUUGCCUCAGAGAACUUACGAUUUCAUCUAUCUGUGAAGUGGAGCUAAGUCUGUGUGGCACAUAAUGUUCAUCUGGUUUAACAGAAAACUCUGAACAACUGUCCAGGUAUAAUGCAACAUAUAAUUAUUAGACGUACAUAAUUUACAAGCUACUGUAAAUCUAAGAAAUAGUUUUGAAUUUGUAUUCUAAUCUUACUUAUAGCAUCAUAUCCUUACAUAUCCUUUUGGCAGUGUUGCACCAUAGGGAAGAGAAGUAGUCCACUUUAAAAACAUAUUGAACGUCGCUGUUGUAUGUAGUACUUUUAAUAGGCUACUACUACAAUGUAGGGUUUCCUGUGUCCUGAGACUAAUUUAACAUAAUGUUUCUACAAUAUCUGAAGUGUGUGGAAGUCUUCACAGUGCUGUGCAUUUGAAUCUAGGUGCACUACUCUGGUGGAUAAUCCUCUUGAGAAUUUUCCUUGCAGUUUCUUUGCCAGUUAUGGAGGUUAAGCAUUGAAGCACAAUCAUGGAUUUUACUGAAGAAUCCAGACACUCUGGUUAGGGUUCAUAGCAUUUUUUUACAAAUGUUUAAUAGAACAUUUAAUAUAACAUUUCAUUAUAUAUGAAAAGAACUGGCAGAUAUCUGGUUUUAUGUGGUUCUUGAUUCACUUUCUCACAUGGCCUGGAUCAACACACCAGUAUUAUUCCCUUCCCUUUACCUUUGCUGAACCAUAAUGUUAGUGAAACUCUUUUAACCUCUUAUGAUUUAACUGCUACAGAAAUGCAAAAUAUGUAAUUCAAAGAGAGGGAACAACCUCAGUACUUACUCUGUAUCUUCAUAA